AGCCUCCUGAUGCUUACCAUCAGGCUGUAUUCUUACACUGUAUAGAAAGAGGAGUCAGAGUAAACCCACCCCAUAUACACCUAAGGCCAGGAAGGCCCUGUGCCUUGUCUGUAUUGUGAUUGGGAGGACAUGG
Molecule: small nucleolar RNA, 133 nt
Filed under: Capra hircus (goat)
Lineage: Eukaryota; Metazoa; Chordata; Mammalia; Artiodactyla; Bovidae
Description: Small nucleolar RNA SNORA51 (ENSCHIG00010015967.1)
Rfam family: Small nucleolar RNA SNORA51
About the family: ACA51 is a member of the H/ACA class of snoRNA that guide the sites of modification of uridines to pseudouridines.
Source: RNAcentral